UGAAAAUACAUUAAUGUCAGAUAAGUAAACAAAAAGAAACUAAUCAAUAUCAAGAAAAACAUAAAACAGCUGAUCCUUGUAUAUAGGCACAAAGUAACCAAAAUCUGGAACAUGAAAGAUAAUUGUAUGUGGCAACUCUAUCAGACCAAAGUAUUGCCUGAGAAAACUAGAAAUGAGAAAUACUGCGCAAGACAUCCAGAAACAACUAUAAGAAUCAGACCAAAAAAAUAGCAGGAACUAGAUCCUACUCAUCGUCAUUUUUCCUCCCCACUGAAGUUAAGCGGCAAUAGAUGGCUUAGAUGCUGCAGAGAGUCUAGACCUCUUCUUAGCCAAACUCUCACUACGUCGUUCUCUUUGUUCCUUCAACCUACUAGCAAGAAGCUUCUGAUAAUCAGCUGCCUCUGACUUAGCCUUGGCAAUUCUCUUCUUCUUGUCAGCAAUUCUCGCUCUCUUUCUUUGUAAUGUCAGGGGUGUCACUAACCUCUGAAUCUUAGGAGCUUUGCUUGCAUUUUUACCAGUUUUGGUGGUGAAAUUUCUGCGGUAAGUGUUGACAUACUUCCUGACAUCAUCUUCCUUGGAAAGAUUGAAGAGCUUUCUGAUCUUGGAAGCCCUUUUGGGUCCUCUCAUUCUAGGUUUUUCAGUGUCUGUCAGUCCAGGAAGAUCAUUCUCUCCCUUCUUCACAAUAACCAAAUUCAGAACUGAAAGGUCAGGACUGACAAUGCAUCCACGGACAGACUUCCUUCGUCUUUCACCAUUACGCCUACCAUAACCACGGAAGCAAGGAGUGCCUCUGUGAAGCAGAAGACGAACACGGCCUGGAGUUAACACUCCCUGCUUCAUUGGGAAACCUUGCUUGUCACAUCCUCCCAUAAUCUUGAAAACGUAUCCCUUGAACUCCUCUCCCAAAGCAUCUCCGCUAACCUCCUGGGAGAUCCUCUUGUCAAAGAAAGCUCGGAGUUUCUGGUCAUCAUCGAUCUCGAGCUUCUUCUGG
RNAcentral lists this unclassified non-coding RNA (991 nucleotides) under Hevea brasiliensis (rubber tree). Lineage: Eukaryota; Viridiplantae; Streptophyta; Magnoliopsida; Malpighiales; Euphorbiaceae. The record is from RNAcentral.